GUAUAAUAUUUUUCUUGUUUUUUUAGUUUUAUUUCUUUUCAUGGUAAUGGUGAAUCAUUACUUGUGUAAUGUCUCUUCCACUUAGUUUUUUUUUCAGUACAUCUGAUACCAGUCUAUGGCUAUGAUACACAUUUUUAGAAGUAAUGUUUAGGUAUUAUGAAGCAUAGUAAUUAAAUACCCUAUAUACACUUGUUGAUUAUAGCCAUUACCCUGCCACAAUUUAAAUUUUAAUGAACUAAUUGGACAUGUAUCAAUCAUCUGGCACUUAAAUUGGACCCCUAGAGAAAAGAUUAUAUUAAAAUUGGUUUAAUCAAUUUAUGACAUACCCAAUAACUGAGUGUUGUUUCUUAACUACAUGUUUUUUCUAUAGCAAUUUCCGUAACACAUUUCAAAAUCAAACUAACCAAGUACAUGCCAAUAGAAUUAUUAGCCAGCAGGCAACCUUGCUGCCUAGAAAUCAGUAUUUCAACAUUUUCUAUUGAGCAGCAACAUGUCUGGAAGUGGCCAUCACUACACUUCAACUUGUUAUGAAUUAACACAUUUACUGACACAACAGAAAAUUACACUAUUGGAGCAGAGCCAAUAUAUAUUUCAUGAUAAUUUAAAGCCGAGCAGAUAGUGCAUCAUGGUGGUCAGAAAAGCUUAUAAAUGUUUGUCUUCAUGGAUGUAUAAUAUAAACAUAAAUGCCAUCUGUUUGUCUUGUCUUGGACAUUGCAAACUCUACCCUGGGUUAUAGCUGCUUUGUAUCUCCUGAUGCAGUGAAGAUCUUUUCUAAAUUUUCUUGCUAUGCUAUUACUGUACAGGAGGAUGGAUGACACUAGGGAAUUCUCUGUCCAACAUUAACUGAUUGUCAGAAGGUACAUUCCACUAUUCUCAAAACUCUUCUAAGCUAUAUUUGAAAUUAUAUAAAUUGCUAUGUACAGUUAUUGUUAGGAGUAGCAUACUGCUCUGCUACUCGUAACAAACAAUAACUACUGUAGUUGCCCACCUGGUAGCAGCCCCAGGAGUGUAAACAGUCAACUGGUGAUUGCACUUCACUUUAUCCCAGAUUCUCCCUCUUAGAAUACAAGUUUAGCCAAUGAGUGACCUCUUCUGUUAUGUGACAGCCGAGUCAUUGUGAGCCUGUUUAGUUCCUUAGCUUUAUUGAAUGGUUCAUGUGUGCGUGUGUAUUUACUGCAGGUCUCUCAUGCUCACCAAACUGAUAUGGGCAGUUUCUUUCUGUGUUUGGCAGUAUGCUAGUUCAUAAAAGGCCUUUUAGGAACUACCUCUGAAUUAGCCUUUAACUUUCAAGUUUCCCUAGCUAAGUACUGAUCCUGCCAAUACUAAGGGAGUUAUACCUGAGGCCCACCCUUGCUUACCAAGAACCAAGACCAGAAUGUGUCUCUACAAGGUGAGGAGAGCUUGGGGAACAAAAAUCAACCCAAAAUAGUGUGGAAAAACUUAAGUGCAACAAAGUAAGCAACUGCUAAAAUAAAAUGAUGUAUCCAGAGGUAACGAGACAAACUAUAGUUGGUGCAGGGUCUUGUAUCCUGAGGUAACGAGACAAACUAUAGUUGGUGCAGGGUCUUGUAUCCUGAGGUAACGAGACAAACUAUAGUUGGUGCAGGGUCUUGUAUCCAGAGGUAACGAGACAAACUAUAGUUGGUGCAGGGUCUUGUAUCCUGAGGUAACGAGACAAACUAUAGUUGGUGCAGGGUCUUGUAUCCUGAGGUAACGAGACAAACUAUAGUUGGUGCAGGGUAAAGACCCUCCCUGUGAUGCACCAAACUACCACCAGGUGGCAGCUCAGGACCACAGGUCUCUUCAGGAUCCA
Molecule: non-coding RNA, 1813 nt
Organism: Procambarus clarkii (red swamp crayfish)
Lineage: Eukaryota; Metazoa; Arthropoda; Malacostraca; Decapoda; Cambaridae
Source: RefSeq, a predicted model, not a curated record